GUGGGGAAUAUUGGACAAUGGGCGAAAGCCUGAUCCAGCCAUGCCGCGUGUGUGAAGAAGGUCUUCGGAUUGUAAAGCACUUUAAGUUGGGAGGAAGGGCAGUAAGUUAAUACCUUGCUGUUUUGACGUUACCGACAGAAUAAGCACCGGCUAACUUCGUGCCAGCAGCCGCGGUAAUACGAAGGGUGCAAGCGUUAAUCGGAAUUACUGGGCGUAAAGCGCGCGUAGGUGGUUUUGUAAGUUGGAGGUGAAAUCCCCGGGCUCAACCUGGGAACUGCCUCCAAAACUGCAUGACUGGAGGACGGUAGAGGGUAGUGGAAUUUCCUGUGUAGCGGUGAAAUGCGUAGAUAUAGGAAGGAACACCAGUGGCGAAGGCGACUACCUGGACUGAUACUGACACUGAGGUGCGAAAGCGUGGGGAGCAAACAGGAUUAGAAACCCGGGUAGUCC
This 450-nucleotide ribosomal RNA is filed under the name uncultured bacterium. RNAcentral describes it as "partial 16S ribosomal RNA". It matches the Rfam family "Bacterial small subunit ribosomal RNA", at positions 354 to 796 of the family's 1533-position model. The record is from RNAcentral.